UUAGGAAUCUUCCACAAUGGGCGCAAGCCUGACGGAGCAAUACCGCGUGAGGGAGGAAGGCUUUUGGGUUGUAAACCUCUUUUAAUAAGGAAGAAGAAGUGACGGUACUUAUUGAAUCAGCAUCGGCUAACUCCGUGCCAGCAGCCGCGGUAAUACGGAGGAUGCAAGCGUUAUCCGGAAUCAUUGGGCGUAAAGCGUCCGCAGGUGGCAAGUCAAGUCUGCUGUUAAAGACAGAAGCUCAACUUCUGAUCGGCAGUGGAAACUGGUUUGCUUGAGUAUGGUAGGGGUUGAGGGAAUUCCCAGUGUAGCGGUGAAAUGCGUAGAGAUUGGGAAAAACACCAGUGGCGAAGGCGCUCAACUGGGCCAUAACUGACACUCAGGGACGAAAGCUAGGGUAGCGAAAGGGAUUAGAUACCCCUGUAGUCC
This 426-nucleotide ribosomal RNA is filed under the name uncultured prokaryote. RNAcentral's name for it is "bacterial SSU rRNA". It matches the Rfam family "Bacterial small subunit ribosomal RNA", at positions 355 to 796 of the family's 1533-position model. The record is from RNAcentral.